This 89-nucleotide ribosomal RNA is filed under the name Paenibacillus popilliae ATCC 14706. Lineage: Bacteria; Bacillati; Bacillota; Bacilli; Caryophanales; Paenibacillaceae. The record is from RNAcentral.
UGGUGGCGAUGGCGGAGGGGUUCCACGCGUACCCAUCCCGAACACGACCGUUAAGCCCUCCAGCGCCGAUGGUACUUGGACCGCAGGGU